Molecule: non-coding RNA, 111 nt
Organism: Acanthosepion pharaonis
Lineage: Eukaryota; Metazoa; Mollusca; Cephalopoda; Sepiida; Sepiidae
Source: the annotation of a GenBank genome assembly
CGGACACAUCACGUUCAAACACCAGAUUCCGUAUAAUCACCAAAGUUAAGCAACGUCGAGCCUGGUGAGUACUUAGAUGGGUGACCGUUUGGGAAUAACAGGUGUUGUAAG